Molecule: non-coding RNA, 243 nt
Filed under: Shouchella clausii
Lineage: Bacteria; Bacillati; Bacillota; Bacilli; Caryophanales; Bacillaceae
Description: Bacillus clausii T-box sequence
Rfam family: T-box leader
About the family: Uncharged tRNA acts as the effector for transcription antitermination of genes in the T-box leader family. T-boxes are found upstream of many aminoacyl-tRNA synthetase genes and some amino acid biosynthetic genes usually in Gram-positive bacteria.
Source: RNAcentral
GAUAACACAAUGAAGAGGAAAGUAAUUUUUGCUUUAUCUACAGAGAGCCGUUGGUUGCUGGAAAACGGUGUUAAAGCUUAAAUGAAACUCACCUCUGAGUGCGUCUCUGAACAUUGUAGUAAGAGCGCCGGAUGCUGUGAACGCAUUCGUUAUAAAAACUGCAAGCCGGAUUUCGGCUUGCUAGAGGCUAACCAUUGUUAGCGAAAAAGGGUGGUACCGCGUGAAGACUUUCUCGCCCCUUGC